GGAUAUGAGGGCUAUCUGACUGCGACAUUCGUCACCCUAUUGAUCGCCAGGGUUGAUUUGGCUGAUCUGGCUGGCUAGGGGGAUAUCCCCUUCCUCCCUCACUGCUCCAUGUGCGACCCUCCUGAAACUGCUUGGUCAAAGAGGAUGACCUUCCCCGAUAGAGGAGGACCGUUCUUUGGUCAAGGGUAUACCAGUAGCUAUGCUCCCCUGCUGGAACCUCCACACAAGCUCUCAAUCUGCUUCUGAUCUUUCAAGGUCACAAAGACCAGCAGGGAGUUGAGUCUCAUGGGAACUGUGGCAUAAGAAUGGACUCCUCUUU
Molecule: unclassified non-coding RNA, 319 nt
Organism: Marmota marmota marmota (Alpine marmot)
Lineage: Eukaryota; Metazoa; Chordata; Mammalia; Rodentia; Sciuridae
Gene: 7SK
Rfam family: 7SK RNA
About the family: 7SK was discovered as an abundant small nuclear RNA in the mid-70s but a possible function has only recently been suggested. Two independent studies have found that 7SK RNA binds the CDK9/cyclin T complex (known as elongation factor P-TEFb).
Source: Ensembl